UAAUUUUUUAGCUGAAAAGACGUAAAGUAAGCAGUCACCGCAGUGGUGUUUGUGGAGAGGUAUUCCUUCAGAAAUGGAGAAGACAGAAAGCUGCAGAGGCAGGAUUGUUUGCAGAUAAUGCUGUUCUUCUUUUUCAGAAGUUUUUGGUGGGCCAACCCUCACAAACCUUCCUAAAAACUAAAAGAGCUAUUACUGAGUCUCAGCGACUCUUGCCACGGUCAGCUCUUCCCAGAAGAGAAGGAAGACCAAGGAAAUGAUUUGCUCAGGAUGAGAAAUGAAGAUGGUCAUCUUGUGCUCAAGCAAACAGAAGUCCUCUGGUAUGUGUGUGUUGAAGCAAUGAUGUGUUACAGGAC
Long non-coding RNA from Carassius gibelio (silver crucian carp), 353 nucleotides. RefSeq lists it as uncharacterized. The transcript is spliced from 3 exons. Lineage: Eukaryota; Metazoa; Chordata; Actinopteri; Cypriniformes; Cyprinidae. The record is from RefSeq and is a predicted model, not a curated record.